Molecule: ribosomal RNA, 253 nt
Filed under: uncultured bacterium
Lineage: Bacteria
Description: partial 16S ribosomal RNA
Rfam family: Bacterial small subunit ribosomal RNA
Source: RNAcentral
UACGAAGGGGGCUAGCGUUAAUCGGAAUUACUGGGCGUAAAGCGUGCGCAGGCGGUGAUGUAAGACCGAUGUGAAAUCCCCGGGCUUAACCUGGGAACUGCAUUGGUGACUGCAUCGCUCGAGUAUGGCAGAGGGGGGUAGAAUUCCACGUGUAGCAGUGAAAUGCGUAGAGAUGUGGAGGAAUACCGAUGGCGAAGGCAGCCCCCUGGGUCAAUACUGACGCUCAUGCACGAAAGCGUGGGGAGCAAACAGG